GAUGAACGCUGGCGGCGUGCCUAAUACAUGCAAGUCGAGCGAACGGACGAGAAGCUUGCUUCUCUGAUGUUAGCGGCGGACGGGUGAGUAACACGUGGAUAACCUACCUAUAAGACUGGGAUAACUUCGGGAAACCGGAGCUAAUACCGGAUAAUAUUUUGAACCGCAUGGUUCAAUAGUGAAAGACGGUCUUGCUGUCACUUAUAGAUGGAUCCGCGCUGCAUUAGCUAGUUGGUAAGGUAACGGCUUACCAAGGCAACGAUGCAUAGCCGACCUGAGAGGGUGAUCGGCCACACUGGAACUGGGACACGGUCCAGACUCCUACGGGAGGCAGCAGUAGGGAAUCUUCCGCAAUGGGCGAAAGUCUGACGGAGCAACGCCGCGUGAGUGAUGAAGGUCUUCGGAUCGUAAAACUCUGUUAUUAGGGAAGAACAUAUGUGUAAGUAACUGUGCACAUCUUGACGGUACCUAAUCAGAAAGCCACGGCUAACUACGUG
Molecule: ribosomal RNA, 497 nt
Filed under: uncultured bacterium
Lineage: Bacteria
Description: partial 16S ribosomal RNA
Rfam family: Bacterial small subunit ribosomal RNA
Source: RNAcentral